AAAAAAGCAAAAGUAGUUCCUGUCUUCUUCAUGGAAUUGGAAGGUGAGACAAUUGAAAUAGCAAACAUGUUCACUUUUCUAGCCUACUUUUUAUAAUAUACAUUUACAAAGAAACUCACAUGUCAGCCCUCUGUGCUCAAGCUUACUACCCCUUACUAUGAACCUGAUAGUUACGGCAUUUCUUUUCUUUCUUUUUUUUUUAAUUAAUUAAUUUAUUUAUGAUAGACAUGGGGAGGGGGGCAGAGACACAGGAGGAGGGAGAAGCAGGCUCCAUGCUGGAGCCCAACGUGGGACUCGAUCCUAGGACUCCAGGAUUGCGCCCUGGGCCAAAAUCAGGCGCUAAACCGCUGAGCCACCCAGGGAUCCCCACGGCAUUUCUUUUAUUAGAAGUCCACGGUCCCAACUUUUUCCUAAAUGUUUUACCACUAUCUUUUUUUUUAAAACAAGUAGAAGAGGGGAGGUCCUUAUAUUUAAGACCUGUGCUUGCCAAUUUCAGCAAGUUCUGUGACAGAGAAUAGAAGAAUGAAGGAAGGUGACUUACAUUGCCAGAUAGGGUUCGUAAAGGGUGGGCAAAGAAAUGUGUCAGAGAGAGGAAGACAUCUUUUACAAAGAUAUAGACACAUAAGAACAUAUAGUGUAUUAAUACAAGUAGAUCAAUAUUGUUGGGUAAUAUCCAGUUUAAGACAAACAAGUUUGCAUUAGGAUGGUUAGAGGUGGGACCAGAUUAGGAACAUCUUGUGUACUGUGCAUAGGAGUUCAGAUUUUAUUCUAUAGAAUAGUACUUUAAAAAGUUUUGCAGAAUCACUUGGUUGCCCAUUCUUUCUGUAUACACUAUUCUCUCCCUUUCUCCAGUUGUCUCUCACAAGCUCUUUCUUUACUUAAUAUCUUGCCUUCAUUUGAGCAAGGGCUUCAGCAUGUAAAAUGUUUGGAAACUGCCACUUAGGUGUUGACAUUUCAUGUUCUGGCAGCAGUAUAGAGGGUAGGUGAGAGGCAUGGCAUACAGAAGAUGUGAAGAUCGCUAGGGAUGUGAUUCAAAUAGUUUGGAGGAAGAGGCACAUAGUAUCUGCUUAUUAAACAGCACUAGAGAAGGGGAAUGGAUUGUAGAUCUAUUGAAGAGAUACACUUGGGACUUAGUGAUGAUGUGAGUGGGAGACCAAAUUAUCAGGACAAAGCAAAGGUAAUUUGUAGCAGAAGUGGGAACCAGAAUGUUGUCCAGAUUUUUCCCUCUUUACCACCUUUUUUUAAACUUUCAAAAAAGUCCCAAGUACACUAUUAAGAACUUACUUAGCCCCAGAACCAUUUGAUAACUUGUCAACAGGAUGCACCAUCACCCCUAAACUCUUGAGCAUGCAUUUCUUUUUCUUUUUCUUUUUUUUCUUUUCCUUUUCCUUUUCCUUUUUCUUUUUUUAACCUUUCAGUUUAUUGUGGUACUUUUUAGAAAAGACAACAUGUUGACAAAGCCAUAACCAAAAGCUUUAACCAUUGGAGCAAAAAACUAAUCCUGCCAACUGGUUAAUUGGGUAAGACAUGGAAGCCCACAAUUUUUGAUAAGCUGACUUGAAAAUGCCAUUUAAAUAAGGUAUGACUGGAGUAAAUACAAACACCCGUAUUUUGAUGGAGAAAUAAAAUACACAAACCAGGAGAAGUACAUUUAUUAUGAAAUGUUAAAAUGACUUGCAAAAGAUCUCACCAGGUAUUUUACAAAAUAAAAGAAAAA
Molecule: long non-coding RNA, 1717 nt
Filed under: Canis lupus familiaris (dog)
Lineage: Eukaryota; Metazoa; Chordata; Mammalia; Carnivora; Canidae
Description: lncRNA (ENSCAFG00845007300.1)
Source: RNAcentral